Molecule: ribosomal RNA, 904 nt
Filed under: uncultured bacterium
Lineage: Bacteria
Description: bacterial SSU rRNA
Rfam family: Bacterial small subunit ribosomal RNA
Source: RNAcentral
AGAGUUUGAUCCUGGCUCAGAACGAACGCUGGCGGCGUGGAUAAGACAUGCAAGUCGAACGGGAUUUUCCGGGUAGCAAUAUUUGGGAAGUCCAGUGGCAAACGGGUGCGUAACACGUGAGCAAUCUGCCGGGAAGUGGGGGAUAGCUCGCCGAAAGGCGAAUUAAUACCGCAUGUGGCCAGGGGGGACAUCCUUCCGAAGCCAAAGUCGCAAGACGCUUCCUGAUGAGCUCGCGGCCUAUCAGCUUGUUGGCGGGGUAACGGCCCACCAAGGCUAUGACGGGUAGCUGGUCUGAGAGGACGACCAGCCACACUGGAACUGAGACACGGUCCAGACACCUACGGGUGGCAGCAGUCGAGAAUUUUUCACAAUGGGGGAAACCCUGAUGGAGCGACGCCGCGUGGAGGAUGAAGGUCUUCGGAUUGUAAACUCCUGUCAUGCGAGAACAAGAAAGUGAUAGUAUCGCAAGAGGAAGAGACGGCUAACUCUGUGCCAGCAGCCGCGGUAAUACAGAGGUCUCAAGCGUUGUUCGGAUUCAUUGGGCGUAAAGGGUGCGUAGGCGGCGUGGUAAGUUGAGUGUGAAAUCCUGGGGCUUAACCUCAGAACUGCACUCAAUACUGCCAUGCUCGAGGAAUGUAGAGGAGAGUGGAAUUCACGGUGUAGCAGUGAAAUGCGUAGAUAUCGUGAGGAAGACCAGUUGCGAAGGCGACUCUCUGGGCAUUUCCUGACGCUGAGGCACGAAGGCCAGGGGAGCAAACGGGAUUAGAUACCCCGGUAGUCCUGGCAGUAAACGGUGCACGUUUGGUGUGGGCGGGUUCAGACCCCGUCCGUGCCGGAGCUAACGCGUUAAACGUGCCGCCUGGGAAGUACGGUCGCAAGAUUAAAACUCAAAGGAAUUGACGGG